Molecule: ribosomal RNA, 403 nt
Filed under: bacterium
Lineage: Bacteria
Description: partial 16S ribosomal RNA
Rfam family: Bacterial small subunit ribosomal RNA
Source: RNAcentral
UGGGGAAUAUUGCACAAUGGAGGGAACUCUGAUGCAGCGACGCCGCGUGAACGAAGAAGGCUUUCGAGUCGUAAAGUUCUUUUAUAUGGGAAGAUAAUGACGGUACCAUAAGAAAAAGCCCCGGCUAACUACGUGCCAGCAGCCGCGGUAAUACGUAGGGGGCUAGCGUUGUCCGGAAUCACUGGGCGUAAAGGGUUCGCAGGCGGAAAUGCAAGUCAGGUGUAAAAGGCAGUAGCUUAACUACUGUAAGCAUUUGAAACUGCAUAUGUUGAGAAGAGGAGAGGUAAGUGGAAUUUUUAGUGUAGCGGUGAAAUGCGUAGAUAUUAAAAAGAAUACCGGUGGCGAAGGCGACUUACUGGGCUCAUUCUGACGCUGAGGAACGAAAGCGUGGGUAGCAAACAGG